AUCCAGAUGACGAGUCCCGAAUAGGACGAAAUGCGCGUUAUCCUGGAU
RNAcentral lists this non-coding RNA (48 nucleotides) under Trichobilharzia regenti. The record is from RNAcentral. Lineage: Eukaryota; Metazoa; Platyhelminthes; Trematoda; Strigeidida; Schistosomatidae.